AGGUAGGAGGAUGCGGCCUUGUGGGUGGUAGCUGGUAUGUUGGUGGAAACUCCAUGCUUCCAUGGAACCAGCUGUAGAGCAGUGGUGAUGCAAUGAGCAUCCUGGAAGUUUAGUUGUCAUUUGUCACCUUUUGGAUAAUGGAGUAGAUUUCUGAAGCUAUUUCUCCUUGUUUGGUGUUCUGCCUGCAAUUUGGACAAGUAGACUUCAGAUUAUGUCUUCACAGACUGAAAGGCUUGGGAAUAGCUUCCAGGGGUCCUAGCAAGGUGCAUCCCAGUGUCAAGAAUGUACUGCAUUCAGAGAAGUUCAAACUAUGGAUUCCCACCAGAGAAGUAUGAAGUGCUCUGAAGGCUGCCAACAAAAUGUCAAGUCAGUCCACUGACAAAAAGGAAGAGAAACCUUGGAAAAACAUUAUUGCUUGUGUUCCAUCUGAAUCUGAGCAGCUGACCUGAGGAAGGAGGCAGAUAAAUAGCAGAGAGUGAUUACACAUAACUUCUCACCAUGGAUUCCGGCAUUUGUGGGCAGCUGCCGAACAGUAGGUGGGAGGAUCUCCCAGAUUAUGAGGCCAGUUUUUCUGUGGCUCAGAGUGCGCCAGUGACUUGCUCAAGAUAAAACAGCCUGUUAGUGCAGGGAUGGAGCCCAGAAAUCCUGUUUCCUGUCCUCAGGAGUGUAUGUUCAAAAGAAGUUCUUGGCAAAGGUGAGAAUAAAUCAUAGGCUCUUUGAAGAGGACUCCAGUGUAUUAA
Long non-coding RNA from Pongo pygmaeus (Bornean orangutan), 740 nucleotides. RefSeq lists it as uncharacterized. NCBI's taxonomy places the organism in Eukaryota, Metazoa, Chordata, Mammalia, Primates, Hominidae. The transcript is spliced from 4 exons. The record is from RefSeq and is a predicted model, not a curated record.